Molecule: ribosomal RNA, 491 nt
Filed under: uncultured bacterium
Lineage: Bacteria
Description: partial 16S ribosomal RNA
Rfam family: Bacterial small subunit ribosomal RNA
Source: RNAcentral
AUUGAACGCUGGCGGAAUGCUUAACACAUGCAAGUCGAGCGAGCUGUAGCAAUACAGCUAGCGGCGGACGGGUGAGGAAUACAGAGGAAGCUGCCUCAGAGCGGUGGAUAGCCCGGGGAAACUCGGAGGAAUACCGCCUGAUGUCGCAAGACCAAAGUGGGGGACCGCAAGGCCCCGCACUCUAACGUGAGCCUAUGUCGAAUUAGCUAGUGGGCGGGGUAAUGGCCAACCAAGGCGACGAUCAGUAGCUGGUCUGAGAGGACGAUCAGACACAACGAAACUGAGCCACGGUCCGGACUCCUACGGGAGGCAGCAGUGGGGAAUAUUGGACAAUGGGCGCAAGCCUGAUCCAGCAAUUCCGCGUGGGUGAAGAAGGCCUUCGGGUUGUAAAGCCCUUUAAGUUGGGACAAAAAAAUCGGCGAUAACAUCGCCGGUCUUGAUGGUACCGACAGAAUAAGCAACGGCUAACUCUGUGCCAGCAGCCGCCGUAA